UACGUAGGGUGCGAGCGUUAAUCGGAAUUACUGGGCGUAAAGCGUGCGCAGGCGGCCGCGCAAGUCGAGUGUGAAAGCCCCGGGCUUAACUUGGGAAUUGCGCUCGAAACUACGUGGCUGGAGUAUGGCAGAGGAAGGUGGAAUUCCACGUGUAGCGGUGAAAUGCGUAGAGAUGUGGAGGAACACCGAUGGCGAAGGCAGCCUUCUGGGCCAAUACUGACGCUCAGGCACGAAAGCGUGGGGAGCAAACAGG
RNAcentral lists this ribosomal RNA (253 nucleotides) under uncultured bacterium. RNAcentral describes it as "partial 16S ribosomal RNA". It matches the Rfam family "Bacterial small subunit ribosomal RNA", at positions 524 to 776 of the family's 1533-position model. The record is from RNAcentral.